This is a long non-coding RNA of Gasterosteus aculeatus aculeatus (three-spined stickleback), 1167 nucleotides long. RefSeq lists it as uncharacterized. NCBI's taxonomy places the organism in Eukaryota, Metazoa, Chordata, Actinopteri, Perciformes, Gasterosteidae. The record is from RefSeq and is a predicted model, not a curated record.
GCUCAUCUUCGAUGAAGCAGAUGCUUUUAUUGCACAGCUUCAGAACAAUUUUACAUAAAUAUGUUUUUCCGAGCGAUGCACGUUUCAAACUAAUUUCAACUUAAUCUGUUGACACCUGCUAUUAUCUCCAUUUGUACACAAAAGAACAGAUUCUUAAUCCCAAAGUGAUGUGAUGUCACUUCCAUGUAAGUGGCCGCUCACCAUGUGUUGCCAUGGCAACCCUCCCUGUCAUUUGGGGGUCUACCAGCCCACCUCUCUUCUUCACUCCCCUCUCUUGUCCUCCAUUUCUUUCAUUUUCCCAAGCUCUGCUCAUCAAAAGAAAGCCUGCUCAGAGAGCCUGGACAACCACCCUAUCCAGGCUGCAGAGAGUAUAUCAUAGCCACCGAGGACUCCCAUCGUGCCGGGAGGCGACCAGGUGCCCUCCAUGGAGCCUCCUUCACCCAGUGUCAAUGCUUCUCUGACGACCUCUGGCACCCUGACCACCACCACACUGGUCCCGUGGGACCAGGCGCACCUGCAGGGGCACACCAUCCUGAUCGUGGUCAUUUUUAGCGUCGUCUGCUUCCUGCUUCUGUUCGCCUUCUUCUACGCCUUCUGCUUUCAUUGCUCCAUCGGUUUGAUCGCUAAAGACUCACGCGCGGCCAAUGGAUCCAGCCCAGACCGCGAGGAAGCCACCUAUAGGUGCAGUUCAACUGAUAACCAGCCAGUGGAGAACAUUGUCUGAGCGGGACACUUGACCGGGAUUAACUGAUGUUUGACUCGUGUAUUUCUGUUAGGAUGAGACUAGUUUUGUUCUGGUGCCACGUAUGGAUGUGUGAACGCGCCAUCGGCCAGAGAGUAACUUACCGUAUUUCAAACAAAGCAUGAAAUCUGAUAUGUUGCUUUAAGUCCCAAGUGGAUUCCUCACUGUGCUUGAUCAACGAUUGAACAACAGCAGGGUUUCCCACAUCAGAUAAUUACUCAAAUACAGCGGUGAUUCCUUUUGAAGCUAAAACACACGGGUAUUAGGUAAGCGUGCAGGUGCACAUGCAUGCAUUUCACGUAAGAACACGUAGACACAAGAAGAACUUAUCCAUGGAGAAAUGUGUUCGAUAAAUGCAAAUGUUAAUUUGAUGCUGACUGCAAGUGCCUUUGAGUGGGAAGACAAAUAAAAAACAAUAGAAUCCA